This 476-nucleotide ribosomal RNA is filed under the name uncultured Methanosaeta sp. RNAcentral describes it as "bacterial SSU rRNA". It matches the Rfam family "Archaeal small subunit ribosomal RNA", at positions 871 to 1337 of the family's 1478-position model. The record is from RNAcentral. Lineage: Archaea; Methanobacteriati; Methanobacteriota; Methanomicrobia; Methanotrichales; Methanotrichaceae.
GGAAUGACGGGGAGCACCACAACGGGUGGAGCUUGCGGUUUAAUUGGAUUCAACGCCGGAAAUCUUACCGGGACCGACAGCAAUAUGAAGGCCAGGCUGAAGACUUUGCCGGAUUAGCUGAGAGGCGGUGCAUGGCCGUCGUCAGUUCGUACUGUGAAGCAUCCUGUUAAGUCAGGCAACGAGCGAGACCCACGCCCACAGUUGCCAGCGUACUCUCUGGAGUGACGGGUACACUGUGGGGACCGCCGCUGCUAAAGCGGAGGAAGGAAUGGGCAACGGUAGGUCAGUAUGCCCCGAAUAUCCCGGGCUACACGCGAGCUACAAUGGUUGGUACAAUGGGUAUCUACCCCGAAAGGGGACGGGAAUCUCCUAAAACCAAUCUUAGUUCGGAUUGAGGGCUGCAACUCGCCCUCAUGAAGCUGGAAUCCGUAGUAAUCGCGUUUCAACAGAACGCGGUGAAUACGUCCCUGCUCCUU